UGGUGGAGUGAUUUGUCUGGUUAAUUCCGAUAACGAACGAGACUCUGUCCUGCUAACUAGGUUGUGUUUUCUCAGGUUGGUGUUCUGGUGUUCCUUCUCGGGGCGCCGGCCCAAUCCACUUGUGAACACAACACUCUUCUUAGAGGGACUGGCGGCUGUUAGCCGCACGAGAUAGAGCAAUAACA
RNAcentral lists this ribosomal RNA (185 nucleotides) under uncultured eukaryote. RNAcentral describes it as "partial 18S ribosomal RNA". It matches the Rfam family "Eukaryotic small subunit ribosomal RNA", at positions 1299 to 1458 of the family's 1831-position model. The record is from RNAcentral.